UACGUAGGGGGCGAGCGUUUGUCCGGAUUUAUUGGGCGUAAAGAGCUCGUAGGCGGCUUGGCAAGUCGGGUGUGAAACCUCCAGCUCAACCUGGAGACGCCACUCGAUACUGCCAUGGCUAGAGUCCGGUAGGGGACCACGGAAUUCCUGGUGUAGCGGUGAAAUGCGCAGAUAUCAGGAGGAACACCGGUGGCGAAGGCGGUGGUCUGGGCCGGCACUGACGCUGAGGAGCGAAAGCGUGGGUAGCAAACAGG
RNAcentral lists this ribosomal RNA (254 nucleotides) under uncultured bacterium. RNAcentral describes it as "partial 16S ribosomal RNA". It matches the Rfam family "Bacterial small subunit ribosomal RNA", at positions 524 to 776 of the family's 1533-position model. The record is from RNAcentral.